CCGAGAAUAUUGGACAAUGGGCGAAAGCCUGAUCCAGCGACAUUGCGUGGAGGAUGAAGACGUUCGCGCCGUAAACUCCUUUUAUAGGGAAAGAAGUAAUUGACGGUACCCUAUGAAUAAGCGGGGGCUAAUUCUGUGCCAGCAGCAGCGGUAAUACAGAACCCGCAAGCGUUAUCCGGAUUUAUUGGGCGUAAAGUGUUCGUAGGCGGUUCGGAAAGUCUGAUAUCAAAUAUCCGGGCUCAACCCGGGGCGAGUAUUGGAAACUUCCGAACUUGAAGGUGCUAGGGGCUAUCGGAACGCACGGUGUAGGGGUGAAAUCCGUUGAUAUCGUGCGGAACACCAAAAGCGAAGGCAGAUAGCUGGGGCAUUCUUGACGCUGAGGAACGAAAGCGUGGGGAGCAAAAAG
This 406-nucleotide ribosomal RNA is filed under the name uncultured bacterium. Its description in RNAcentral is "bacterial SSU rRNA". It matches the Rfam family "Bacterial small subunit ribosomal RNA", at positions 355 to 775 of the family's 1533-position model. The record is from RNAcentral.